This 261-nucleotide ribosomal RNA is filed under the name uncultured prokaryote. RNAcentral's name for it is "partial 16S ribosomal RNA". It matches the Rfam family "Bacterial small subunit ribosomal RNA", at positions 524 to 784 of the family's 1533-position model. The record is from RNAcentral.
UACGUAGGUGGCAAGCGUUAUCCGGAAUUAUUGGGCGUAAAGAGCGCGCAGGUGGUUGAUUAAGUCUGAUGUGAAAGCCCACGGCUUAACCGUGGAGGGUCAUUGGAAACUGGUCGACUUGAGUGCAGAAGAGGGAAGUGGAAUUCCAUGUGUAGCGGUGAAAUGCGUAGAGAUAUGGAGGAACACCGGUGGCGAAGGCGGCUUUCUGGCCAGUUACUGACGCUCAUGCGCGAGAGCUGGGUUAGCGAACCGGAUUAGAUA